GAAGCUUGGCUCUUCGCUGACGAGUGGCGCACGGGUGCGUAACGCGUAUGCAACUUACCCCAAACUGGAGAAUAGCCUUUCGAAAGGAAGAAUAAUACUCCAUAGUAUUUCAAAGAGGCAUCUCUUUGUUCUUAAAGCUUCGGCGGUUUGGGAUGGGCAUGCGUUCUAUUAGUUAGUUGGUGAGGUAACGGCUCACCAAGACCACGAUAGAUAGGGGGCCUGAGAGGGUUAUCCCCCACACUGGUACUGAGACACGGACCAGACUCCUACGGGAGGCAGCAGUGAGGAAUAUUGCACAAUGGACGAAAGUCUGAUGCAGCCAUGCCGCGUGCAGGAUGAAUGCCCUACGGGUUGUAAACUGCUUUUAUAUGGGAAGAAACGCCUCUACGUGUAGAGGUUUGACGGUACCAUAAGAAUAAGGACCGGCUAACUCCGUGCCAGCAGCCGCGGUAAUACGGAGGGUCCAAGCGUUAUCCGGAUUUAUUGGGUUUAAAGGGUCCGUAGGCGGGAAAAUAAGUCAGUGGUGAAAGCCUGCAGCUCAACUGCAGAACUGCCAUUGAAACUGUUUUUCUUGAAUAUAGAUGAAGUGGGCGGAAUAUAUCAUGUAGCGGUGAAAUGCAUAGAUAUGAUAUAGAACACCGAUUGCGAAGGCAGCUCACUAAACUAUUAUUGACGCUGAGGGACGAAAGCGUGGGGAGCGAACAGGAUUAGAUACCCUGGUAGUCCACGCUGUAAACGAUGAUCACUCGAUAUUGGCUUCUUUGUCAGUGUCCUAGCGAAAGUAUUAAGUGAUCCACCUGGGGAGUACGACGGCAACGUUGAAACUCAAAGGAAUUGACGGGGUCCCGCACAAGCGGUGGAGCAUGUGGUUUAAUUCGAUGAUACGCGAGGAACCUUACCAGGGUUUAAAUGCAGGACGAUAGAGGUGGAAACACCCCCUCCUUCGGGCGACCUGCAAGGUGCUGCAUGGUUGUCGUCAGCUCGUGCCGUGAGGUGUCGGGUUAAGUCCCAUAACGAGCGCAACCCCUAUUCCUAGUUGCCAGCGGGUAAUGCCGGGGACUCUAAGGGAACUGCCAGCGUAAGCUGUGAGGAAGGUGGGGAUGACGGCAAAUCAUCACGGCCCUUACGUCCUGGGCCACACACGUGCUACAAUGGUGGAGACAGUGAGCAGCAAACCGGCGACGGUGAGCUAAUCUUUAAACUCUAUCUCAGUUCGGAUCGGAGUCUGCAACUCGACUCCGUGAAGCUGGAAUC
RNAcentral lists this ribosomal RNA (1254 nucleotides) under uncultured prokaryote. RNAcentral's name for it is "partial 16S ribosomal RNA". It matches the Rfam family "Bacterial small subunit ribosomal RNA", at positions 75 to 1333 of the family's 1533-position model. The record is from RNAcentral.